Molecule: ribosomal RNA, 223 nt
Filed under: uncultured bacterium
Lineage: Bacteria
Description: partial 16S ribosomal RNA
Rfam family: Bacterial small subunit ribosomal RNA
Source: RNAcentral
CGCCCUUCAGAGGGGGACAACAGUUGGAAACGACUGCUAAUACUGCAUACGAUCUAACCUCGGCAUCGAGGAUGGAUGAAAGGUGGCCUCUAUUUAUAAGCUAUCACUGAAGGAGGGGAUUGCGUCUGAUUAGCUAGUUGGAGGGGUAACGGCCCACCAAGGCGAUGAUCAGUAGCCGGUCUGAGAGGAUGAACGGCCACAUUGGGACUGAGACACGGCCCAG